Molecule: ribosomal RNA, 253 nt
Filed under: uncultured bacterium
Lineage: Bacteria
Description: partial 16S ribosomal RNA
Rfam family: Bacterial small subunit ribosomal RNA
Source: RNAcentral
UACGGAGGAUCCAAGCGUUAUCCGGAAUCAUUGGGUUUAAAGGGUCCGUAGGCGGUUUGGUAAGUCAGUGGUGAAAGCCCGGAGCUCAACUCCGGAACUGCCAUUGAAACUGUUUAGCUUGAGGACGAGAGAGGUGAGUGGAAUUCCCAGUGUAGAGGUGAAAUUCGUAGAUAUUGGGAAGAACACCGGUGGCGAAGGCGGCCAUCUGGACGGACACUGACGCUGAGGCGCGAAAGCGUGGGGAGCGAACAGG